GGUCUGUGGCUCAGCGGUAGAGCACUUGCCUGGCACGUGCAGGGUGCUGGGUUCAACCCUCAGCACCA
This 68-nucleotide transfer RNA is filed under the name Marmota monax (woodchuck). Its description in RNAcentral is "tRNA.Ala". The record is from RNAcentral. Lineage: Eukaryota; Metazoa; Chordata; Mammalia; Rodentia; Sciuridae.